AUUUCUUUGCAAUACAGUGCAAAUCAGUAGAAAUGUGAAUAUUUGGUUAGCAUGUUGAUUUGCAGUGUGUGCCCCUAAAUCUUCUGGUUGUGCCCCUAAAAUGUUCAGUUGGGGGCCACUGUGCUCCUAGUGAAAACAGUUAGUGUGGAGCCCUGUAACGGCUGUAAACCGCUCCGGUGAAAGA
This is a long non-coding RNA of Etheostoma cragini (Arkansas darter), 184 nucleotides long. RefSeq lists it as uncharacterized. The transcript has 3 exons. The record is from RefSeq and is a predicted model, not a curated record. NCBI's taxonomy places the organism in Eukaryota, Metazoa, Chordata, Actinopteri, Perciformes, Percidae.